CUACAACAUCAUUAUCGAUUUUCGGUUUGAGAAGAAAUCAGAGUUUUGAAAGGGUAUUUUGGUGAAUAAUUCGAAAAUUACUAGUUGAGGCGUGAAAUAACGAAAUUACCAAACGGGCUAUUUUAUAAUAAGAGUUAAGUACGAUCCAUACCGGAUUUGAGUUCAAAAGAUACGAACGGGGAAAUACGGAGGUUUUAUAUUACAUCACCAAAAAAGGAAAACCCAAAAUAUUUAGCAUCGUUCAUAGGUCCUCGUACAACUUCCAACAUACCCGGGCAAGACCUCGAUCGCUACUCGACCCAUCCCGAUUGAGUAUCACUAGCACUACUACCUGCAAUUAAAAGACAUCUAUAUGAGCUAUAAAGCUCAGUAAGAAAUCUGAUGAAAUAUCGAACUUUGAAAAUACGUUAUACAUAAUAUAAUAUUAUAUACCCAUUCUUACCCACGUUCCGUACAACACAAGCCAAUCGGUGAAUUCACAUAACUCACGGAAACACAUCAUUCACACAUAAUCAAUUACUUAUGCAAAAUGACUCAAAUGCCCUUUUUAUGAAAAUCAUGAAAAACACAUUUUUCGUUUUAUCGGAUCCGUGAAAGAUUAAUUUAUGUACCUGAGUAAUAAACCUGUUACGAGCCUGUUUUCACUAAGUGGGAUCAAACCACAUCAUUUCAUCCUAGUUGGAUACCGGCCCUCUACACCCGAGUUGUUUAUUACCCGGUAUUCCAUUAAUCUUUCAAUUUAAAAACCGUUUAAUGCAACUUUUUGAAAUCAUGCUUAUGACACAUAACAUCACAAAGAUCAAUCAAGUGCCACAAAAUCACACAAAUAUCACAAUUUACCACAUAUUUAUAAUUUGGGGCAAAAAUCCCCAAAUUCACACACAAUCUCACACGGCACACACACAUACACAUUCAGCACAUACACACACAUUGAUUCAGCACACACACAUGCAACCAACACAUUAAAACAUCACCAUUUAUUAUUCAAACCAUGCUUGUAAAGCAAGCACCCCUUUUUUUUACCUUUCAUUAAAUGAACUUAUUACCACAUCUAAGUAAUAAUCCAUUCCAAUAAAUUCCCACAGAAAUUAAUCCACAUCCAUGCAGCAAUUAAAAGUACAAAACCCCAAAGUUCAUUACUCACAAUUAUUAAUUCAAAGAUAUGGAAAUUAAAGCACAAAAACAUGAUAAAUGGCAUACAUAAUGUUCUAAUUUCGAAAUAAUAGCAAAUCAAUUCUAAAAAUUCCCAAAUUAAAUCCUAUAGAUCCUAACUGAUCCAAAUUUUAAUUUCAGUAAUUAUUUUAAAUUUUCAUAAAGUUUCGAAUUUUCUUGAAAUUAAAAACUCGAAAAUUUGAUUUUUUUCUUUUAAAAAUCCAAACCUCUAAUAUAACCUUAAUUACUUUAAAAAAAUUGUAAAGAAAUUUUUUCCCCAUUUAAUACUUGCUGGAAAAACAGAUUCAAACUUUAGAAUUGAGAGAUUUUUCGGAAAUUGCAGUUUUGACAGCAAAGUUUCAAGAUUUACAUAUGCAACCACACUAAAAGUUCAAAAUCCAUUUUUUCAUGCAAAACCCCUAACAAUAUGAAAUUUUACUUUAAUAAAUGCAGAAAACAAAGUUAAAAAGUUACUUUAUGCAUAAAUUUUGAAAAUUACAUAUUUCACCCCAAAAUCUCUAGAUCUAUACAUGCAAGACCACUAGAAGUUCAAAAAUCACUUUUUCUUGCAAAAACUUUUUAAAUCCGAAAUUUAUGUUCAAUAAAUGCUGGAAAAACAGUUUUGAAAACACUUUUAGGACUGACUUCUUGAAAAUUACAGAUUUGGCCCAAAAAUCGUUCGAUUUACACAUGCAACCUCAUAAAAGUUCAAAAUUCAUUUUUCUUGAGACCUCGUUUUGAAAUCCGAAAUUGUUGAUGCUUUUGGCCAAUAAAACUUGUAUCUACCAACUACCAACAUAGAUGAUGCAUGCAAGAACAAGAAAUCAACAUUAAACACAUCUUUUCCACUUUUCCCCAAAAAGCCCUAAUUUUUUCGAAAUCACUCCAAAUCUUUUACGAAAUUUUGAAAAACAUUUUAAUACUAUUGAUGCCAUUUAAUUGCAGCGAGAAAUCGUAAUUUCUUACCUUAAGAAACCUAAAGGAAAAUGAAGGAAAAUCGAAGGAAAAUGCUUCAAAGGUUGAUGCCAAGAUCUAGCCAAACAUAUUCGAUGGUGAAGGAGAUGGAGUGGAUUUUCAAGUGAGAUGUGUAUUUUUUUUCUCGGUGAAUGAUGUUGUAGGCUAAUCAAAGUCCAUAGUUAAAUAGAGGACUUUCAAAAUUAUUUUUCAUUUUCUUUGAAAAUCAAGGGAUGAGGUGGAAGAAGAUGAAGAAUGGAGGUGGUGGUGUUCAUUCAGUG
Molecule: long non-coding RNA, 2387 nt
Filed under: Erythranthe guttata (spotted monkey flower)
Lineage: Eukaryota; Viridiplantae; Streptophyta; Magnoliopsida; Lamiales; Phrymaceae
Description: long non-coding RNA (EGUT_LNC002846)
Source: RNAcentral